UGUACACUUAAACUACACAAGGCCUACAUUGACUAGUGUUUGCAUGUAGGCAAAACAUGAUGUAAACUACAUGUAAACAUUGAGAUGGGAAUGUAAUUUUGUUUAGUUAAUUACAUGUGAGACACUAACACCACACCGAGUGGUAAAUUUGAAAUUGAAACUUCAAAAUGUUAACAGACGCCAGCAUGAAUCCGUUGGCUGUUUUUGUUUUGUUUCAGACAGGGCGAUGGAUUUGUUCCAAUUGAUGAAAACACAAUCCUAUCGUCAUUUCUUGGAUAAUGAUUUACUGAAAAAGAAUGAUCCCCCGGUUUGUACUUACAUGCAUGACAAAACAGAUAUAACACCCGGGUGUCGCAUAUGCAUCAGGAUUAUCUCAUCCUAAUGGAGCACAUGAAAGCUGUCCGUUUCAUGACGGGAUAAUUGUUUUUCUCUUUACGUGUUCUAUAUCAUGUAUAUUAUUUGUUGUGUACUGUUUAAUGUCUUGCUAUCAUGUUUUUUCUACGACGGCAUUGUCAUGAUUUCAAAUUAUUUGAAGUUUCUUUUACUGUGCUGUUUGGGUGUUGCCCUUUGUUCAUGGUUUGACAAGAACCCAUAGUUGCUUGCUUCCACUUCGUUCUGACUAUUGUAGAUAGUGUUUCUCAUUGACAAUUAUUCCAUAUCACAUACUAAAAUAUUGCUUACUGUUUCUUAUGAUUAUUUAAAGAUUCUUUGGUGUAUACAGCAUGUACAUUAUCUGAGCCUAAUGAUGACGUGAUUUGGAAAUUGAAUGAAAAAACGCAAUUUUUCAAGACCAUGAACAACAAAAAGAAACAAAAAAUACAUUAUCAGGUAAAACAUCAUUUAAUCCAUUAAUUACCUAACCCAGUCUCUGAUCGGGAUUAUAUAACAUCCUAUGUCUUAGAUUUGCUUAUAUUACAAUGAUCUGACAAGAUAUCGUUGUAUUUCUCUUUUGGUACUUAACAUAUCCGCCAAAAAGUCAGUAAAAUGUAGAAUAUAAAAAAAUACCGAAGUCGAAGGAAAAUUCAAAACGAAAAAGUCCUUCAUCAAAUGGCA
Molecule: long non-coding RNA, 1053 nt
Filed under: Mytilus galloprovincialis (Mediterranean mussel)
Lineage: Eukaryota; Metazoa; Mollusca; Bivalvia; Mytilida; Mytilidae
Source: RNAcentral